CAACGAGCGCAACCCUUAUCCUUUGUUGCCAGCGGUCCGGCCGGGAACUCAAAGGAGACUGCCAGUGAUAAACUGGAGGAAGGUGGGGAUGACGUCAAGUCAUCAUGGCCCUUACGACCAGGGCUACACACGUGCUACAAUGGCAUAUACAAAGAGAAGCGACCUCGCGAGAGCAAGCGGACCUCAUAAAGUAUGUCGUAGUCCGGAUUGGAGUCUGCAACUCGACUCCAUGAAGUCGGAAUCGCUAGUAAUCGUAGAUCAGAAUGCUACGGUGAAUACGUUCCCGGGCCUUGUACACCCCGCCCGUCACACCAUGGGAGUGGGUUGCAAAAGAAGUAGGUAGCUUAACCUUCGGGAGGGCGCUUACCACUUUGUGAUUCAUGACUGGGG
This 390-nucleotide ribosomal RNA is filed under the name Klebsiella pneumoniae. RNAcentral's name for it is "bacterial SSU rRNA". It matches the Rfam family "Bacterial small subunit ribosomal RNA", at positions 1090 to 1480 of the family's 1533-position model. The record is from RNAcentral. Lineage: Bacteria; Pseudomonadati; Pseudomonadota; Gammaproteobacteria; Enterobacterales; Enterobacteriaceae.